This 245-nucleotide ribosomal RNA is filed under the name uncultured bacterium. Its description in RNAcentral is "partial 16S ribosomal RNA". It matches the Rfam family "Bacterial small subunit ribosomal RNA", at positions 524 to 768 of the family's 1533-position model. The record is from RNAcentral.
UACGUAGGGGGCAAGCGUUAUCCGGAUUUACUGGGUGUAAAGGGAGUGUAGGUGGCAUGGCAAGUCAGAAGUGAAAGCCCGGGGCUCAACCCCGGGACUGCUUUUGAAACUGCCAGGCUGGAGUGCAGGAGAGGUAAGUGGAAUUCCUAGUGUAGCGGUGAAAUGCGUAGAUAUUAGGAGGAACACCAGUGGCGAAGGCGGCUUACUGGACUGUAACUGACACUGAGGCUCGAAAGCGUGGGGAG